Molecule: long non-coding RNA, 1373 nt
Filed under: Oryctolagus cuniculus (rabbit)
Lineage: Eukaryota; Metazoa; Chordata; Mammalia; Lagomorpha; Leporidae
Description: lncRNA (ENSOCUG00000038448.1)
Source: RNAcentral
AAACAAUUAACAUAGCGUUUGAUUUGAUGCUCUGAGUAUGCUAGUGUUCCCCAGAGAUGAUAGAAAUAGUAAUGGAGAGAAGGCAUUCCGUUACAGUUUUACUGACUUCAGGAUGCUGUUACUGGCCUGCUAAGUGCUGUGAAGAUACUUUGUGGAAAAAGUGUUUUUUAUGUGAAUUUCUUUGAACACUAGGUCUAAGGAUACUUAAAAGGUGGAAAUUAGCUGCUAGGAAUGAAAGGGCUUUUACUUUUUGUCUGAAUAUAUGCUGAAAGACUAUCAUUAUCAUUAUUCUUAUUUCUUAUUCCUCAAUGAAAUAUUUUGAUGAGAGCUCAGAAUAUUCUCUCAUAAAGGCUAGAGGUCAUUUCCUAUGCCCUUCCAUUUCUGAGAAAACAGAUGAGGCAUAAAGAAAUCACAGGGAGGAAGCAAUGUUGAGAUAAAGCGUAUCAGUGUAUCCAGAAGCAGAGGUCACUUACUUCUCAUGUAGAUUUUGGAGUCACUCUAUUGUCUUAUCCAACUUUGGUUUAUGUUUUUCAAACAACAAAAACGGUCACUCCAAUUUUCUAAACAUGGCUUAUUGUCCACCCAAGUCUUCAUUUUAGGAAACUAUGGUUUGUAGAAAAUGUUCAUGUUCACCUCUCUGUUUCAUAAUUUUUUUGAAAUUCCUUGCCUUAUGAUAGGUUUCUGGCCACUGAGAUGAAGUUGGAAAUAAAGGAUGCCACUACCAAGUUGAUUUCUUCAGUCUCCUCUCUUUUUUCCUUCUCGUUCAGUCUUGCAGCUUGGAGCCUGCGAGUGCAAACUGUGAGCUUCACAGUGAGGAUUCUUCCCUCCCUCCCUAUCUUCGAUAUGGAUGAAAACACACACUGAUGGAGAUGGGCUGAACCCCUUGAGGUAAUCUGAUGCACUCUUUCUACCACUUCUGCACAUCUUAAAUGGGUUUUAAACAGCCUAAAAUGUCUACAAUGUGUUCAUUUCCUGUGGUGGAUUUACAGUGUGUGACAGGAAAUCCAUUUCUUUUCCUGUAGAUGCUAAAUUCAUUACCUUGACACAGAAUUCAGACUCACUCUUUGCACUUGCUGCCAUAGCAACGAAUAUCAGGCAUUUUUUUUUUCCUUUUUAUUUUUCCUUCCACUGGAAGCAGGGUAGUCAAAUGUAGCAGUAAGAUCUAUACUACAAUUAAAAAAAAUGUUUUUAAAGGCCCCAACACUAUUAUACCAAGAGUGUCUUCAUAUCAUCACCACUGUAAUUACAAAUUUCAUAAAUCUAUAAUCACAUUAUAGACCAAGGCAUUCUAAACUAGCAGAGUAUGUUGUCCCUUAAGAUAUUUUUAUGAGCAAAUUUCUUUUAUCGACUUCUCAAAUUUAUUCACAACAAUG